GUGCCAGCAGCCGCGGUAAGACGAACCGAGCGAACGUUGUUCGGAAUCACUGGGCUUAAAGGGCGCGUAGGCGGGUGAUCAAGUCAGGGGUGAAAGCCUCCAGCUCAACUGGAGAAGUGCCUCUGAUACUGGUCGUCUCGAGGGAGAUAGGGGCGUGCGGAACUUCCGGUGGAGCGGUGAAAUGCGUAGAUAUCGGAAGGAACACCGAUGGCGAAAGCAGCGCGCUGGAUCUCUUCUGACGCUGAGGCGCGAAAGCCAGGGGAGCGAACGGGAUUAGAUACCCCCGUAGUCC
RNAcentral lists this ribosomal RNA (292 nucleotides) under uncultured bacterium. RNAcentral's name for it is "partial 16S ribosomal RNA". It matches the Rfam family "Bacterial small subunit ribosomal RNA", at positions 505 to 796 of the family's 1533-position model. The record is from RNAcentral.